RNAcentral lists this small RNA (821 nucleotides) under uncultured Verticillium. RNAcentral describes it as "eukaryotic LSU rRNA". The stretch from base 541 to 821 matches the Rfam family "Eukaryotic large subunit ribosomal RNA", at positions 1 to 281 of the family's 3401-position model. The record is from RNAcentral. Lineage: Eukaryota; Fungi; Ascomycota; Sordariomycetes; Hypocreales.
CUUGGUCAUUUAGAGGAAGUAAAAGUCGUAACAAGGUCUCCGUUGGUGAACCAGCGGAGGGAUCAUUACCGAGUACUAUAACUCAUAACCCUUUGUGAACCUUUAUACCUGUUGCUUCGGCGGCGCGCCUCCCGGGGCGUGCCCGCCGGCAUUAUCAGAAUCUCUGUUCGAACCCGACGAUACAUCUGAGUGUUCUAAGCGAACUGUUAAAACUUUCAACAACGGAUCUCUUGGCUCCAGCAUCGAUGAAGAACGCAGCGAAACGCGAUAUGUAAUGUGAAUUGCAGAAUUCAGUGAAUCAUCGAAUCUUUGAACGCACAUGGCGCCUUCCAGUAUCCUGGGAGGCAUGCCUGUCCGAGCGUCGUUUCAACCCUCGAGCCCCCGUGGCCCGGCGUUGGGGAGCUGCCCAGGCAGUCCCCGAAAACCAGUGGCGGACCCGUUGGGCCCUUCCUUUGCGUAGUAACAUCUGCCUCGCAUCGGGAGCCUGCGGGCUAUCCGGCCUCUAAACCCCCCUCAAGCCCGCUCCGGCGGCACCAAGGUUGACCUCGGAUCAGGUAGGAAUACCCGCUGAACUUAAGCAUAUCAAUAAGCGGAGGAAAAGAAACCAACAGGGAUUGCCUCAGUAACGGCGAGUGAAGCGGCAACAGCUCAAAUUUGAAAUCUGGCUCCUUCGGGGCCCGAGUUGUAAUUUGCAGAGGAUGCUUCGGGUACGGGUUCCUUCCGAGUUCCCUGGAACGGGACGCCAUAGAGGGUGAGAGCCCCGUCUGGUAGGACACCCAGCCCGUGUGAAGCUCCCUCGACGAGUCGAGUUGUUUGGGAAU